RNAcentral lists this long non-coding RNA (1636 nucleotides) under Piliocolobus tephrosceles (Ugandan red Colobus). Its description in RNAcentral is "lncRNA (ENSPTEG00000006726.1)". Lineage: Eukaryota; Metazoa; Chordata; Mammalia; Primates; Cercopithecidae. The record is from RNAcentral.
ACUUUAUGGAGUACAUAGGGAAAACGAAACAAUAAAAAAAUCAACAGAAAUCGUAAACAAUAAACGAACUAUAGAUACAGAACAGGUUACACAAGAGAUGGGAGAAAUGGGAGAAAUGGGAGAAAUGAGAGAGAUGGGAGAGAUGGAAGAGAUGGGCGGAUGUACACCUAGAAUAGGAACAUAUAAAGCAAAAAAUAAAGACAUAAUUAAAAAUAAGUUUAAAAAUGUUGUAAAAAAUGAGUUAUUAUCAGUAAAAGGUGAUGAAUCUAUAAUAAGAAAUGUUGAUAGCAGUGUUGGAAGUCGUGUCAACAGUAACAUCAAUAGUAGUGGUCGUUAUAACACAGAGAAUAUGAAUUAUCCAGUUUGGAGUAUUGUCAAUAAUAUACAGAAGAACAUAAAGGUAGCAUUGGUAUCAUUUUUAAAAUGUUAUUAUAAAUGUAUAUUAAUAUUAAAAUUAAAAUUAUAUAAUAACUCUUUUACUCAAGAUAAGGUUUUAAAAAGGAUAAAGCAAAUUACGCAUUUCACAUAUAGUCUUUAUACUUUAUUAAAAAUAAAAAACUACCCCAUUUGUAAGGAACACAAUUUUGUGAUAAAUGAGUUGAAUAAGAAUUUCUUUUACAUUGAUAUAUUUUCGAAGGCAUCAUUUUUUGAAAUACUGCCGGAGGAUAGCUAUGUUAAGAAUAUAUAUGUAUCUUUUACGUUGGAAAAUAAAAAUGAUUACAAUGUGAGUAAUGUAAAAGAAAAAAGAAAAGAAUGGCUUGAUACUCAUGAUACGGAUAUCAUUAAUGUACUAUAUUCAUACAAAAUGACAAACUCUAAUAAUAAAACACAUGUCAUGCAUAAAAAAGCGAUUGCAAUUAAAAAAGAUGAUAUUACAAAAGAGUAUAUGACACUAAUUUAUUAUUACUAUUAUAUAAAAAGUGAAAUAUGUAAAAAAUUAAAGAGUACUAGUAUUCCUAUUUUAUAUUGUAAAGCAAAAAAAAUGGACAAAGAUUUUAAGAAUUCUGUUGAUUAUUUUGAUCUUUUAUUUGAUUCUCGAUUAUACAUGUUAGUAUUAAAUUAUGAAUUACAAAAUACAAUUAUAACCUUUUUUACGUCAUGUAUCAAUUUUUUGAUGUCACAAUAUUUUGGAAAAAAUGAUCAAAGUAACAAAGGGAAAAAGCAUAUAUUUUUUACACUUAUUAUUAAGGCAAUGAAAAUAUAUACUAUGAUUUUUUCUUUAUUUUUUAUACGGUUGAAUUGCUUUUUAGAACAAUCUACAAAUAAUAUAUACAAUGUAUUAAAUAACAAAAUGAAUAUAUAUUCUUAUAAUGAUGAAAUGACACAAGCGAUGUUAAAUAUUUUUAAUUUUAUUAAUUUUCGAUAUGGUUGUUCAUAUACGUUUUUAAAUUAUGUUUAUACUUCGUUUCACAUUUUUAUUAACGCAAUGGUACAAAUGAACCUAAACAUUUACUUUGAUAAAAAGUACAUAGGAACAGUUGAAUAUAGUAAUGAUAGUCUAUCAAAUAAAAAACAAAAAAAAAAAGAAGAUAAACAUGUAUUCAAAUUGAAUGUGAUGAAUCGAACGUGUAAAUCGAAAGGUAAGCGGCUCAAAAAGGUCAAAAUAAACGAGGUACAUUUAGAAAAGAAGCAUAUU